UUCGACACAGUCCUCACGUAAUUUGUCGA
Molecule: small RNA, 29 nt
Filed under: Bombyx mori (domestic silkworm)
Lineage: Eukaryota; Metazoa; Arthropoda; Insecta; Lepidoptera; Bombycidae
Description: ovarian small RNA-37372
Source: RNAcentral